CUUUCCACAGUUCAGACUUCAUGUCUGUGAGGCUGUGACUGCUCAGACAGUUUUGCAUCCUCCUCUGCCUUCCUCUUUUGGUGAUCUUAUUUCUUCAGAUGGAUGUUUUGAGGCUAUUAUCUAUUUUGAGAAAAUUACACAAAUGCUGAUUUAUUAGCACAACAACUCAAAAGUGGUUCCUGUGAGGUCCUCGGCAUCGUCCAUGCUCCUGUGCAUCAUCUCUCACCAGGUGCAGUGCAUCCAGACUUGACUCAGAUACCCGAGGGGAAAAGGGAAAGGUGUGGCGAGGACAGGACUGGCCGUGAACUGCGGGAGACGCACCAAUUUAUCCGCUUGCAGCCUCAACCAGGGAAGAAGAUGCUAAUGAAGGUAAAGAGGCUGACCCGGAAAGCAGAUUGAAACUGGCACUGAACCCACAGACAAGGUGGAGCGAGUCAAGGAGCAGGAGGAGCAGACAGAGGGCACCGCCUCAACAGCAAAGGCUCAGCUACGGUGGCAAACAGAUGAACGACGAGAAGACGGCAGCUGAUUGCGAGGAGGAGGUGGUCUCAGGCCAUGAGAAGUCGUCCCUCCGCUUUGCCUCCUCACCCUUUGCUCAGAGUGAAGCAUACAUCUCACGCUGGCCGGGACACCCAAGCCAUUGCCCCUGCCUUGGAUGCCCAGUCUUGUGUGUCACUGGUGAGAGACUGCGAGGAUUCCAGGAUGCAGUGUUCUCGGCCCAAAAGGCCUUUGCUGGCUAUUGGGUUUUAAUAUUGGCGCUUCCCUGUCUUAUGGCUGUGUCCCGGUUGUCAAUAAAAUAUU
Long non-coding RNA from Cavia porcellus (domestic guinea pig), 801 nucleotides. RefSeq lists it as uncharacterized. The record is from RefSeq and is a predicted model, not a curated record. Lineage: Eukaryota; Metazoa; Chordata; Mammalia; Rodentia; Caviidae. The transcript is spliced from 3 exons.